AACGGCCGUACCAUGCUGAAUAUACCGGUUCUCGUUAGAUCACCGAAGUCAAGCAUCAUUGGGCGCGGUCAGUACUUGGGUGGGUGACCCCCUGGGAACACCGCGUGCC
Molecule: ribosomal RNA, 109 nt
Filed under: Caerostris darwini
Lineage: Eukaryota; Metazoa; Arthropoda; Arachnida; Araneae; Araneidae
Source: RNAcentral